UAGGAAGUAGUGUUUUUGGGAGCACUAAGAGUUUUGAUCUCUUGAGUAGAGGUUCGAGUCCUCUCUUUCUAA
RNAcentral lists this transfer RNA (72 nucleotides) under Pelotretis flavilatus (southern lemon sole). RNAcentral's name for it is "tRNA-Gln". It matches the Rfam family "tRNA". Rfam says of the family: Transfer RNA (tRNA) molecules are approximately 80 nucleotides in length. Their secondary structure includes four short double-helical elements and three loops (D, anti-codon, and T loops). Further hydrogen bonds mediate the characteristic L-shaped molecular structure. tRNAs have two regions of fundamental functional importance: the anti-codon, which is responsible for specific mRNA codon recognition, and the 3' end, to which the tRNAs corresponding amino acid is attached (by aminoacyl-tRNA synthetases). tRNAs cope with the degeneracy of the genetic code in two manners: having more than one tRNA (with a specific anti-codon) for a particular amino acid; and 'wobble' base-pairing, i.e. permitting non-standard base-pairing at the 3rd anti-codon position. Lineage: Eukaryota; Metazoa; Chordata; Actinopteri; Pleuronectiformes; Rhombosoleidae. The record is from RNAcentral.